Molecule: ribosomal RNA, 357 nt
Filed under: Triticum aestivum (bread wheat)
Lineage: Eukaryota; Viridiplantae; Streptophyta; Magnoliopsida; Poales; Poaceae
Description: partial small subunit ribosomal RNA
Source: RNAcentral
AUGCUUGCUUUUCCUCAAGAUUACCAGACGCAGUAUUGGGUGGAGAAAGCAGUUUCUCACUUCAGAAAGUUAUUGAGUUGGUUUAGUCCCCGUGAACCUCUGUCUGGUGUGCUUGUUCAAGUUUGGGUUAUGAGUCCGUCAGUGAUUCCAAAGGAUUUUGUGAUGCGUCAGAUGGGGGGACAUAGGCGUUCUUGGACUGUACCUGUUUUUAUCCUUAGGUCUGACGGGGCAAAUGUGUUUGAGCAUGAUGUUCCUCUUGCUGGUGAAGAUCCCCUGCCUCCUAAUGGUGAUGCACACCCUUUAUUUGGUCCACAUACUACUGCUGAACAAGCCUUCCAAGUCAGAUUGCAGGCUUGA